GAGCUCCGACUUGACUACUGAUAUUAAUGAGUUUUUAGAAUACGAGAGAUCUCUGACUGUUUUGCUGUUUCAAUAGUGUGAAAUCAUUAUUGAGCCAUCAUUUCAGAAAGAUAAUUCGACGUCGGACGAUUUGAUUCUGACUAAUAGAUUUUGGCCACAUGUCAAAAUAUCAUUGGCUCUGCACUAUUCAUGCAGAUAAUGGUGAGGUGG
This 210-nucleotide long non-coding RNA is filed under the name Elaeis guineensis (African oil palm). Its description in RNAcentral is "long non-coding RNA (EGUI_LNC015039)". The record is from RNAcentral. Lineage: Eukaryota; Viridiplantae; Streptophyta; Magnoliopsida; Arecales; Arecaceae.